Molecule: long non-coding RNA, 464 nt
Organism: Halichondria panicea
Lineage: Eukaryota; Metazoa; Porifera; Demospongiae; Suberitida; Halichondriidae
Exons: 4
Source: RefSeq, a predicted model, not a curated record
AUAUAGCUAUAUAUAUAAGGGCAUGCAGUACAACAGAUGUGCAGCUGCAGCUGCAUAGCAACAAAAAUUUUUUUUUUAUUUGCAAAGAAGAAAAGAAGUUGAGUGUAGACAUGGUUUGAGAGCUGUUUGACAAAACUGUGGAACUAGAAAGGACAAGCAAGUAAAAGGUUGAAUGGGGCUCAACAAAGUGGAGACCAAUUGAAGCCUAUAUUGCCCAAGUUUCAUAGCACAAUAAGAUGAUGUUGAAAGUGACACGUGUUGGAGAGAGCAUUAUACUGGACACCCUUGUAUGACCAGACCACUGUAAAGUAUCGACACAAUUGGAGGUGAUGCUGAGAAGUCAAAGGCAGUAUCUUACAAUUGCAGUGAACUGAGUGCAGACUUGCUAUUAUGUUUAAAAAACCUUUUUUUGUAUAUCCUCAUCAAUACUGUAUUGAUGUAUUGUUGUUUUUAUUGUUGUUGAA